CCUACGGGAUGCAGCAGUGGGGCAUAUUGCACAAUGGGGGACACCCUGAUGCAGCGACGCCGCGUGAGUGAAGAAGUAAUUAGUUAUGUAAAGCUCUAUCAGCAGGGAAGAAAAUGACGGUACCUGAGUAAGAAGCCCCGGCUAACUACGUGCCAGCGGCCGCGGUAAUAAGUAGGGGGCAAGCGUUAUCCGGAUUUACUGGGUGUAAAGGGAGCGUAGACGGCAGUGCAAGUCUGGAGUGAAAGGCGGGGGCUCAACCCCCGGACUGCUCUGGAAACUGUACGGCUGGAGUGCAGGAGAGGUAAGUGGAAUUCCUAGUGUAGCGGUGAAAUGCGUAGAUAUUAGGAGGAACACCAGUGGCGAAGGCGGCUUACUGGACUGUAACUGACGUUGAGGCUCGAAAGCGUGGGGAGCAAACAGGAUUAGAUACCCGAGUAGUC
Molecule: ribosomal RNA, 440 nt
Filed under: uncultured bacterium
Lineage: Bacteria
Description: partial 16S ribosomal RNA
Rfam family: Bacterial small subunit ribosomal RNA
Source: RNAcentral